CAGCAGCCGCGGGAAUACGUAGGGUGCAAGCGUUAAUCGGAAUUACUGGGCGUAAAGCGUGCGCAGGCGGUGUUGUAAGACUGAUGUGAAAUCCCCGGGCUCAACCUGGGAACUGCAUUGGUGACUGCAACGCUGGAGUGCGGCAGAGGGGGAUAAAAUUCCGCGUGUAGCAGUGAAAUGCGUAGAUAUGCGGAGGAACACCGAUGGCGAAGGCAAUCCCCUGGGCCUGCACUGACGCUCAUGCACGAAAGCGUGGGGAGCAAACAGGAUUAGAUACCCCCGUAGUCCCUGUCUCUUAUAC
Molecule: ribosomal RNA, 301 nt
Filed under: uncultured bacterium
Lineage: Bacteria
Description: partial 16S ribosomal RNA
Rfam family: Bacterial small subunit ribosomal RNA
Source: RNAcentral